GACGAACGCUGGCGGCGUGCCUAAUACAUGCAAGUAGAACGCUGAAGGAGGAGCUUGCUUCUCUGGAUGAGUUGCGAACGGGUGAGUAACGCGUAGGUAACCUGCCUGGUAGCGGGGGAUAACUAUUGGAAACGAUAGCUAAUACCGCAUAAGAGUAGAUGUUGCAUGACAUUUGCUUAAAAGGUGCAAUUGCAUCACUACCAGAUGGACCUGCGUUGUAUUAGCUAGUUGGUGAGGUAACGGCUCACCAAGGCAACGAUACAUAGCCGACCUGAGAGGGUGAUCGGCCACACUGGGACUGAGACACGGCCCAGACUCCUACGGGAGGCAGCAGUAGGGAAUCUUCGGCAAUGGACGGAAGUCUGACCGAGCAACGCCGCGUGAGUGAAGAAGGUUUUCGGAUCGUAAAGCUCUGUUGUAAGAGAAGAACGAGUGUGAGAGUGGAAAGUUCACACUGGACGGUAUCUACCAGAAA
Molecule: ribosomal RNA, 475 nt
Filed under: Streptococcus mitis
Lineage: Bacteria; Bacillati; Bacillota; Bacilli; Lactobacillales; Streptococcaceae
Description: bacterial SSU rRNA
Rfam family: Bacterial small subunit ribosomal RNA
Source: RNAcentral